AUUGAACGCUGGCGGCAGGCCUAACACAUGCAAGUCGAACGAGUGGCGGACGGGUGAGUAAUGUCUGGGAAACUGCCUGAUGGAGGGGGAUAACUACUGGAAACGGUAGCUAAUACCGCAUACCAUCGGAUGAGCCCAAAUGGGAUUGGCUAGUUGGUGGGGUAAAGGCUCACCAAGCCGACGAUCCCUAGCUGGUCUGAGAGGAUGACCAGCCACACUGGGACUGGGACACGGUCCAGACUCCUACGGGAGGCAGCAGUGGGGAAUAUUGCGCAAUGGGGGCAAGCCUGAUGCAGCCAUGCCGCGUGAAUGAAGAAGGCCUUCGGGUUGUAAAGUACUUUCAGCAGGGAGGCGUUACCCGCAGAAGAAGCACCGGCUAACUCCGUGCCAGCAGCCGCGGUAAUUC
This 406-nucleotide ribosomal RNA is filed under the name uncultured bacterium. Its description in RNAcentral is "partial 16S ribosomal RNA". It matches the Rfam family "Bacterial small subunit ribosomal RNA", at positions 30 to 526 of the family's 1533-position model. The record is from RNAcentral.